RNAcentral lists this ribosomal RNA (694 nucleotides) under uncultured bacterium. RNAcentral describes it as "bacterial SSU rRNA". It matches the Rfam family "Bacterial small subunit ribosomal RNA", at positions 140 to 851 of the family's 1533-position model. The record is from RNAcentral.
GGGAUAACGUUUGGAAACGAACGCUAAUACCGCAUAAAAUAUCGGAGUCGCAUGGCACUGAUAUCAAAGGAGCAAUCCGCUGAAAGAUGGGCUCGCGUCCGAUUAGGCAGUUGGCGGGGUAACGGCCCACCAAACCGACAAUCGGUAGCCGGACUGAGAGGUUGAACGGCCACAUUGGGACUGAGACACGGCCCAGACUCCUACGGGAGGCAGCAGUGGGGGAUAUUGCACAAUGGGGGAAACCCUGAUGCAGCGAUGCCGCGUGAAUGAAGACGGCCUUCGGGUUGUAAAGUUCUGUCGCAGGGGACGAAAAUGACGGUACCCUGCAAGAAAGCUCCGGCUAACUACGUGCCAGCAGCCGCGGUAAUACGUAGGGAGCAAGCGUUGUCCGGAAUUACUGGGUGUAAAGGGAGCGUAGGCGGGAGGAUAAGUUGAAUGUGAAAUCUAUGGGCUCAACCCAUAGCUGCGUUCAAAACUGUUCUUCUUGAGUGAAGUAGAGGCAGGCGGAAUUCCUAGUGUAGCGGUGAAAUGCGUAGAUAUUAGGAGGAACACCAGUGGCGAAGGCGGCCUGCUGGGCUUUUACUGACGCUGAGGCUCGAAAGCGUGGGUAGCAAACAGGAUUAGAUACCCUGGUAGUCCACGCGGUAAACGAUGAUUAAUAGGUGUGGGUGGACUGACCCCAUCCGUGCCGGAG